This 843-nucleotide ribosomal RNA is filed under the name Triticum aestivum (bread wheat). Its description in RNAcentral is "partial small subunit ribosomal RNA". Lineage: Eukaryota; Viridiplantae; Streptophyta; Magnoliopsida; Poales; Poaceae. The record is from RNAcentral.
AUGUCAUAUUUGCAAUCUCAUCGUAGUGACUAUGCAUAUGCCAUUAAAAUAAACCCAAUUUGCACUUAUGGCUUAGAUGACAAGCCCAUGGUUAUUGGCAUUUGUUUUUCUUGUGAUGAUAUUGAUAUGCUCCCUUUGCAUCAUUUAUCUCAUAUGCCAUGCCAUGACUACCUACCUUCGGAUAUGCAUUAUUUUGGAUGUUGUCCAUUUUCUCCAUAUGAUGUUUCCAAUGUUGUUCAUGAGGAGACCCCCAUAGUUUCCACAUACAUGUUAGGAGAAUUUGAUCCAUCCCAUUCAUUGCAUGAACCCAAUACUUGUAUACACAAUAUGCUCCCCAUGAACAAACAUGCUAUUGAUGUGCCAUAUACUUGCAUUCUCAAUUUGUGUCCCCAUCGUGUCAUACAUAAUAACUAUUCUUUCAUGAUGGAUGACAUGUUCUUAUACCAUGCAUCAAAUUUCAUUGAGCAUUUCUUAUCUUGUGCUAACUCACAGGUGCACAUACACAUCAUGAUGGAUGAUGUGUACAUUUACCACGCGCACAAUUUCUUUGGUUUGUGUCUCUUUUGUGUAGGUACCCAUGAAUACUUGUCAACCUCUCAAUCCCACGAGUUGACAAAACGAGCUCUAGAGAGCAACGAUGAUUUGGGAUCUCAUGGAUUGUUUUUCCCACCGAUCUCUCUUCACGCGAAGACUUCGCACAUUUCUUCUACAUGGCCCUCACUUGGCUAUGGGUUGUUCUCCAUUAUAUAUCCUUUGCCCAUAUUGCCAUGUUCACUUUGCAUGAUAUGCCCAUUCCUAUGCCUUUGCCAUGCAUUUGUGACCCAUGCUUUGCAUCACACAUGA